GAUGAACGCUGGCGGCAGGCCUAACACAUGCAAGUCGAGCGGGAGCACAGAGAGCUUGCUCUCGGGUGACGAGCGGCGGACGGGUGAGUAAUGUCUGGGAAACUGCCUGAUGGAGGGGAAUAACUACUGGAAACGGUAGCUAAUACCGCAUAACGUCGCAAGACCAAAGAGGGGGACCUUCGGGCCUCUUGCCAUCAGAUGUGCCCAGAUGGGAUUAGCUAGUAGGUGGGGUAACGGCUCACCUAGGCGACGAUCCCUAGCUGGUCUGAGAGGAUGACCAGCCACACUGGAACUGAGACACGGUCCAGACUCCUACGGGAGGCAGCAGUGGGGAAUAUUGCACAAUGGGCGCAAGCCUGAUGCAGCCAUGCCGCGUGUAUGAAGAAGGCCUUCGGGUUGUAAAGUACUUUCAGCGGGGAGGAAGGCGAUAAGGUUAAUAACCUUGUCGAUUGACGUUACCCGCAGAAGAAGCACCGGCUAACUCCGUGCCAGCAGCCGCGGUAA
This 504-nucleotide ribosomal RNA is filed under the name uncultured bacterium. RNAcentral's name for it is "partial 16S ribosomal RNA". It matches the Rfam family "Bacterial small subunit ribosomal RNA", at positions 28 to 523 of the family's 1533-position model. The record is from RNAcentral.